GCAAUCCUGCUUUGUGCGUUGCUUGUUGAUUUUAAACCCACAGUGUUUUUGAGGGAGUUGGUCUUAGAUUGCGUAUACCAGGCCGCAUAAUUGGCGGAAGGUAGAAACAAUUUAGCGGCGCCCACCUGCGAGAAGCGGGUAUUAAAAACACCGAGCGAACGGCUAAGUGGAAACAUG
Molecule: non-coding RNA, 177 nt
Rfam family: 6S / SsrS RNA
About the family: E. coli 6S RNA was the first non coding RNA to be sequenced, but its function was unknown until recently. It consists of 184 nucleotides that fold into an extended hairpin structure with a large single-stranded internal bulge. The 6S RNA specifically associates with RNA polymerase holoenzyme containing the sigma70 specificity factor.
Source: Rfam